GCCCGGUUAGCUCAAUCGGUAGAGCGUGAGACUCUUAGGAGUACACGAAAUCUCAAGGUUGCGGGUUCGACCCCCGCAUCGGGCU
RNAcentral lists this transfer RNA (85 nucleotides) under Claviceps africana. It matches the Rfam family "tRNA". From Rfam's summary of the family: Transfer RNA (tRNA) molecules are approximately 80 nucleotides in length. Lineage: Eukaryota; Fungi; Ascomycota; Sordariomycetes; Hypocreales; Clavicipitaceae. The record is from Rfam by way of RNAcentral. RNAcentral also lists the same sequence under 3 other names.